RNAcentral lists this ribosomal RNA (465 nucleotides) under Vreelandella stevensii. RNAcentral describes it as "partial 16S ribosomal RNA". It matches the Rfam family "Bacterial small subunit ribosomal RNA", at positions 338 to 795 of the family's 1533-position model. Lineage: Bacteria; Pseudomonadati; Pseudomonadota; Gammaproteobacteria; Oceanospirillales; Halomonadaceae. The record is from RNAcentral.
CCUACGGGGGGCAGCAGUGGGGAAUAUUGGACAAUGGGGGGAACCCUGAUCCAGCCAUGCCGCGUGUGUGAAGAAGGCCCUCGGGUUGUAAAGCACUUUCAGUGAGGAAGAACGCCUGGUGGUUAAUACCCAUCAGGAAAGACAUCACUCACAGAAGAAGCACCGGCUAACUCCGUGCCAGCAGCCGCGGUAAUACGGAGGGUGCGAGCGUUAAUCGGAAUUACUGGGCGUAAAGCGCGCGUAGGUGGCUUGAUAAGCCGGUUGUGAAAGCCCCGGGCUCAACCUGGGAACGGCAUCCGGAACUGUCAAGCUAGAGUGCAGGAGAGGAAGGUAGAAUUCCCGGUGUAGCGGUGAAAUGCGUAGAGAUCGGGAGGAAUACCAGUGGCGAAGGCGGCCUUCUGGACUGACACUGACACUGAGGUGCGAAAGCGUGGGUAGCAAACAGGAUUAGAUACCCUGGUAGUC